Halichondria panicea is the source of this 1912-nucleotide long non-coding RNA. RefSeq lists it as uncharacterized. Lineage: Eukaryota; Metazoa; Porifera; Demospongiae; Suberitida; Halichondriidae. The transcript is spliced from 2 exons. The record is from RefSeq and is a predicted model, not a curated record.
GUGAUAUUCCCAAACAUUAAAUUUUAAUAGAACGAACAUUCAAUUGGAGACGGACGAGGCUAGUGUAAAUCAGGAAUGCAAAUGAUGUCACGUGCAAAUUAUGCAAUUUAAAUAGCGUCAAAGCAGAGUCAAAGUAGUACACAGAUCUAUUUAGCCAGGCUUUUGAUACUAUAGAUCCUUGUACCACAGUGUGUUGUGCUACAACUUGUGGAUUAGCAUGGAACAGCUGAGAACGAAGAAAUUGUGGCAGUCCUUCUUUGAACUGAGGAGUAGCAGCGAUUUUAAGACAGCUUGCACAAGUCUGACAACUACUCCAUGACUGUCUCAAUUCAACUGGUGCCCUCUGCCAUUAUCUGUCUUGUAUAUAUUGUACAGGUUAUCAAAAGCCUUGGGCAACCAAUAACAAACUGACUUUUGCUGCCAGUUCUCGCAUCAUAUAAAAACUAAAACACAGCUAAUCUUUGCUGGUCUCUUAGAUGACUAUAUCCUAGCUGAAUGCCUGAUGUUAUCCACUCUCAAACUGUAGCUAAGAAGCCCGCGAGCACUUUUGCAGGCUACGCAAUUCUACUUAACCUCACGCAAUUUUUGGAUCACGUGGAAAAACCAAUGAAUAAUCUCUACCCAAAUUCCGGGGUUGUGAUAAAACAGGGAAUGAGAAAUGAGGAAAUAAGAAAUAGGAAAUGAGGAAAUGAAGAAAUAAGAAAUAGAAUAAUAAUAAUUUAUGGUUAGGCCACUCCAAAUGAGACUGUAGUUUCCCGUCCAACUCGCGCUUCCUGCUUUAGCUACCGCAUUAAAAAUUGUACUAUUUCUACGUUUAAAAUUGCGUGGCAUAUUGGCUGUGAAAACUACCAGUAGAUCUACAUGUGAUUGACGUUGUAACGGAUUGGAGUUAUGCUCUCGUCUGAUUUCUUGUUUCCACGCUUUUUUGUGGUUCCCCUGGCCAAUCCUAGCAAUUUUUCACAUUGCAAAUGUUUUUCUAGUUGGAUUUAUAUAUAGGAGUGUACAGCAUCCCAACAUACUCUCACUAUAAUAAUAUUGGGAGUUAUUAUCCGAAAUACAUGAACACAAUUUUAGUCGUGUUUCCUAUUUUAUAUAAUUAUAAUUAUAUAGGAGUGUACAGCAUCCCAACAUAUUCUGACUGUACUGGGAGUUAUUAUCCAAGAGACGAGGCUCCUAAUCAUCACCAACUUAGUCAAUGGCAAAAAUCUGCAUAUGCAAAUUUUUGACUCAUCAAGAGUUGAGGAUGGUACAUUCCAUGCAUACCUCUCCGACUUUGGAAUUGCACAGAUUUUGAGUACCACAAAAGUUAUUGGUAUACUAGUACUCUAUACAGCAAGGUACGCCUGCAUACCAGAGUCCAGAACAUAUUCGGGCUGAGAAAGGAAUCACAACAUCAACUGACGUGUACUCCUUUGGUGUGUUGCUGUGUUGCUACUAUAGAGAUGUUUGGAGAGCAACUAGCAUGGAAAAGUCUAACACCAGUUCAAAUAUCGUACCGAGUGGCCCAUAUGAAUGAGUACCUGUCCACUGAUAAUUUGAAGGAUCCGCGGAUCAAAGAGCUAUGUUCGUUGUGUUUUAGGCCAAAAGAAUCGCGGGAGUCUAUUGCUAUAGCAAUAGACUACAUAUAUAUACAUUAUACACCGCAACACAAAUUAUGGAAGAUUGCCCUGUCACUGUACAUGCAGGGUAAUUAGGGUUAGGGUUAGCCUGUAGGACACACAAUAUAACUGUACACUUUGAUGACUCAUUCAUAUAAUUAUGUCAUGCGUUCAGUUCAUUAAUUUUAUACUUUAAUGACAUUGACCAUUAAUCACUUUUCAUGUCAUGCAUUGGUUUACAUAGCUAAAAUAUUACUCAUUUUCUAAAAUUGUCCACAAAUUAACAGUUAUAUAAAACUUGAUUGCUUCUUUUA